Molecule: long non-coding RNA, 539 nt
Organism: Monomorium pharaonis (pharaoh ant)
Lineage: Eukaryota; Metazoa; Arthropoda; Insecta; Hymenoptera; Formicidae
Exons: 2
Source: RefSeq, a predicted model, not a curated record
CUUCGGCCACAUGAUUCCCGUAGAUGAUCCUCGCGAUGAGAUUUAUGUAAUCCUGACAGCGACGGUCAAACCUGCCUGAUUGAUUAUUCUAAUCAUUACGUGACACACUCCUGAAUAGGGUUGAGUCCAUAUUAUACGUGUUCAAUUCUUGGAAAGAAAUUCAACUGCAUUCAUAAGUUAUGGAAAGAUUAUAUAUAAUAUUAUACAAAAGAUAUUAUAUAUAAAAUAUGUUUUUAUAUAAUAUCUUUGCAUUAAAUAAGGAGUGAAAAAAAUCAAAGUAAAAAAUGGACUAAAUUAUGCCUUCAUGUACCUUUCAUAUAAUACACAAGUGUUUUUUAUAACUGAACUGGUAUAAUAAAUUAAGUAUAUUUCUUCUCAUUUUAACUUAUUGCACCAGUUUGGCAAUGCAAGUAUAAAGAAUAGACCAAAGAUUUCAAUCAACUGCACUGCUUGAAUCAGCUGAUUACUGCAGUUACGAACGACUGAAAGCAAGUAUCAUAUGUACUAUAUGUAAAUUAUCGUAAAACGUAAAAAAAAAA